Molecule: non-coding RNA, 3068 nt
Organism: Peromyscus maniculatus bairdii (prairie deer mouse)
Lineage: Eukaryota; Metazoa; Chordata; Mammalia; Rodentia; Cricetidae
Source: RefSeq, a predicted model, not a curated record
CCUUGGCUUGCUGUCAUGGUGUCUUUAAAACUGGGCCGUUACCCAUUGCAGAGCAGGGGGAGGGACCAUACCAAGUCCAUGUGAUUAUUACUCCACAUUGUGGAGUGUCCAUACCGUGUCCAUAUGAUUAUUAUCCCACAUUGUGGAGUGUCCAUACCGUGUCCAUGUGAUUAUUACUCCACAUUGUGGAGUGACCAUACCGUGUUUAUAUGAUUAUUACUCCACAUUGUGGAGUGUCCAUACCAUGUCUAUAUGAUUAUUACUCCACAUUGUGGAGUGUCCAUACCGUGUCCAUGUGAUUAUUACUCCACAUUGUGGAGGGUCCAUACUGUGUCCAUGUGAUUAUUGAUUAUUACUCCACAUUGUGGAGGGUCCAUACUGUGUCCAUGUGAUUAUUGAUUAUUACUCCACAUUGUGGAGUGACCAUACCGUGUCUAUAUGAUUAUUACUCCACAUUGUGGAGUGUCCAUACCAUGUCUAUAUGAUUAUUACUCCGCAUUGUGGAGUGUCCAUACCAUGUCUAUUACUCCACAUUGUAGAGUGUCCAUACCAUGUCUAUAUUAUUAUUACUCCACAUUGUGGAGUGACCAUACCGUGUCCAUGUGAUUAUUACUCCACAUUGUGGAAUGUCUAUACUGUGUCCAUAUGAUUAUUACUCCACAUUGUGGAGUGACCAUGUUAUGUCCAUAUUAUUAUUAUUACUCUAUAUUGUGAAGUGUCCAUAUUAUGUCCAUAUUGUUAUUACUCCAUAUUAUGGAGUGUCCAUAUUAUGGCUUCAUAAUCAAAUAUCCAGAUUGGUGCCAAAGGUUUUAAUUUAUUUGCAUAUUUUGGAGGAAAAAAUCUGCCCCUUUAAUCAAAUCUAUUCAUUCCAAUGGUAAAUAAGUAAGCAGAAAUUGGAAAUUAGGUAAAUUUCUAUGCAAUACUAUUACCCACUGGCUGUGUAGUAGUGUGUGUUUGUUGUAUAUAGGUGUAGUUAGGCUGAAAAUGGGAGUGAGGAAUCCAGUAGAGGGCUGAUCUGUCUUUGAAGCCUGUAGCUUAAAUCUCCAGUGUACUAGAUCUUUAGUUAGCAGCUUCUAGAAAGAUACUCAGAGUCAGGUCCUGUGUCAUAUGUAGCUGUUGAGUUCAUUUCUCCACCGAAAUAUAUUACCAAGCUUCUGUUCCUGGGUUUAGAUGAGAUGCAUUAGAAAGUAUCAGGAUUGGUUUAAUACUUUUAUAUGCUGUAGGAGAGUCUAGUACUUAAAGAAAUUCCAUGGCCAAUCCAGCCAGGCAUGCUUUUUCAUACCUAUAAUCCCAGUACUCAAGAGGCUGCUGAGGCAGGAGGAUCAUGAGCUUGCCUUGGCAACAUAGUGAGACCUUGUCUCCAAAAGAAAAAAAGAAAAAGAAAAAGCACCAUAGAAGAAAAAUUCUGUGAUCUACUUUGUGAAUCAAAUGGUCACUGUCCUGAUUGGCUAGAAAAUGGAUUUUUAUGUUAUAAAAUAAGGUUUUAAGUACACUGUUACUGAAUUUUAGCCAACCUUUCUUUAACAACUGUUGUAAGGCAAAACUGGUGAGAACAUGUGGUAAAUUGUUUGCACCUAGAAGGAGUUUAUUCCCCAGCUUGACUUUCCUGUCAAUCUAGAGAGACACUGUUAGAGAUGCUGCUGAGUCAAAAAUGUGCUGGUCUUGUUUUCCUGAUGGUGCUGCACUUGUAUCCUUGUUCAGAUGGUGAGAGGCAUGGCCACAAAAUGUAUUCUUCACAUUUAGGAGCCAGUAGUUAGCUAGAAAAUUUUGACUCUCCUUUUUAAAAUUUUAACAUUUGUUUUUUGAGAUAAGGUUUCUCUCUGUAGCCCUGGCUGGUCUGGAAUUGACCAAGCUGGCUUUGAACCUAGAGAUCCACCUCUGCCUCCCCAGUGCUGGGAUUAAAGGCGUGCACUACCAAGCCUGGCAUGACUCUUUGGUUUGUCUGUGUAUUAGGAAAUACAAUGAAGGUAACAAACACUGCUGUUUAUUAUAAGGUUGUCACACUUAGCGUUUACUGUUGGUGCUUUGUCAAAGGUUUAUGGAGUACUUACAGUGGAAGCCCCCAUUCCUCCUCCUCUUUCCACCUGUACCAAGCUUUCUUUUGGGGGCCACCAACCAGUCCCAGAUCAUGACUGUGGCUCAGAGGUGAACGUCAUACCAUAGUAAGUUAUAGAGCCAGGAGUCAAGUCCAGGCAGUCAGCCAGAUGUGGUGCCCCACAUCUAUAACUCUGGUGUUCAGGAGGCAGAGCUGGGAAGUUCAAAGCUAUUCUGGAAUGCAGAAGAAACUCUGUCUCAAGAAACCAACAAAAGAAAAUAAAAGGAAAAAAUUUUAAAGGAAAAAAUUUAAAAGCUAGGUGUGGUAUGUUGGACCUUUAUUUCCAGCACUUAGGAGUAGAGGAAGAGAAUCAGUUAAAAACCUUCCUUUGCCAAUAGUGAGUAUCAGGCUAGCCUGGGCUACAUGAGACCCUUUCCUAACAACACCCAAAAUAGGCCAUGUGUUCUCAAGGCCUUUCUUUCCCCCCACUGAGGUGCGAGCUCACCACCAGGUGCCCAGUUUGCUUCCAGUUGUCCUCAUCAGGAGAUUAGCACAAACAUCAUCAGUCAUUUGGGACCUCUUGUAGGAUCUGGAUGAAAUAAGAUGGAACAGAAGAGACCAUAAUCAGGCCAGUAUGAAAAACAACUUAAGCAUUCUUUUAUGCAGCUUUCCUUCCACAUAUAUUUGGACUGGCCUUUGCUUUUUCUGGAAUGACAACAAAAGAUUUUUUUUUUCUGUUCUAUAAACCAGCCCCCAAAUUGGAACCAGAUGUCUUGACUUCCACUUGCUAAAAAGCACUUCCUCUUAUUAAAGAAAACAGUAGCACCAGGCAUGGUGCUGCUAGUCUGUAAUUCCAUAACUGACAGUGGGAAGAAGGGUGGUAUCACGAGGUUCAGGGAUUCAAGGUUGUUCUUGGUUCCAAACCUGUCUGGGUUCUUGGACUUCUCAAAAAAAAAAAAAAAAAAAAAAAAAAAAAAAAAAAAGAAUAAAAAAGAAUAUACAGCAAACCAAUAGUGCUUAAAACAGUGGGAAA